Molecule: long non-coding RNA, 465 nt
Filed under: Salvia miltiorrhiza (redroot sage)
Lineage: Eukaryota; Viridiplantae; Streptophyta; Magnoliopsida; Lamiales; Lamiaceae
Description: long non-coding RNA (SMIL_LNC005022)
Source: RNAcentral
CCCAAUUCUUGAUGUGGGCUGAAUAGAACAAAUCAAACACUAAAAUCGUUAUUCGAUCGUUGAUUUUCGCAGCCGCCAAACGUUAUUCACCAACCAACAAGAACAAAUCAAACAAUAAAACCUAACAAGAACAACUUACACGGUUUCAGACGGCCAAAUCCAACGCUUCGCCGCCGGAUAACUGAAUAGUCGUCAACCAAUUCCAAGCGCCGCUGUUGUAGUUGGAGAGGAAUCGCCUGUCAAAGUGAGUAAAGCUGCGUAUAUUCAGAUGAACCAAACCCACAAUAUUGCAGGCCAAAUCAUAUAAAUUAAACCCUAAAAACUUACAUUGUGAUAUCGCCUGCCAAAUCCAAGCCAGCCAUUGCAAUUGGAGAUGAAUCGCCGUCUGGUGUAGGGUUUUCAGAAAUGGUGGGUUGGUGUGCGAAGAAGUGGGUAGAGGGAGAGUAAAUUCCUAAAUUACUGACG